RNAcentral lists this ribosomal RNA (482 nucleotides) under uncultured bacterium. Its description in RNAcentral is "partial 16S ribosomal RNA". It matches the Rfam family "Bacterial small subunit ribosomal RNA", at positions 30 to 507 of the family's 1533-position model. The record is from RNAcentral.
UUGAACGCUGGCGGCAGGCCUAACACAUGCAAGUCGAGCGGAUGAAGGGAGCUUGCUCCUGGAUUCAGCGGCGGACGGGUGAGUAAUGCCUAGGAAUCUGCCUGGUAGUGGGGGAUAACGUCCGGAAACGGGCGCUAAUACCGCAUACGUCCUGAGGGAGAAAGUGGGGAUCUUCGGACCUCACGCUAUCAGAUGAGCCUAGGUCGGAUUAGCUAGUUGGUGGGGUAAAGGCCUACCAAGGCGACGAUCCGUAACUGGUCUGAGAGGAUGAUCAGUCACACUGGAACUGAGACACGGUCCAGACUCCUACGGGAGGCAGCAGUGGGGAAUAUUGGACAAUGGGCGAAAGCCUGAUCCAGCCAUGCCGCGUGUGUGAAGAAGGUCUUCGGAUUGUAAAGCACUUUAAGUUGGGAGGAUGGGCAGUAAGUUAAUACCUUGCUGUUUUGACGUUACCAACAGAAUAAGCACCGGCUAACUUCGUG